ACAGCCUUCAAUAGGAGGGAGGAAGGCAAAUUAUCUAGUCAGCCCAUCAGCAAUCCAAAAGGACAAUAUAUGGCUGAGAGUUCCACUGGCCUAGAGAUUUUUUUCGAGCAUGCAAAAUCUGUAAUGAUCCUUAAAAGUGGAAAAGUCUUAAACCAGUCAGAAAAAAAACCAACAGUUAGAACAAGCAGAACAAGCCAAGUCAGAAAAGAAGAAAUCUAAAGAGAGAGA
Molecule: long non-coding RNA, 228 nt
Filed under: Elaeis guineensis (African oil palm)
Lineage: Eukaryota; Viridiplantae; Streptophyta; Magnoliopsida; Arecales; Arecaceae
Description: long non-coding RNA (EGUI_LNC031274)
Source: RNAcentral